AGCAGCCGCGGUAAUUCCAGCUCCAAUAGCGUAUAUUAAAGUUGUUGCAGUUAAAAAGCUCGUAGUUGAAUUUCGGGGUCAGUAGGUCGGUCGUGCCACUGGUAUGAACUGGUCUCACUGAUUCCUCCCUCUUGUAGAACCGUGAUGCCAUUAAUUUGGUGUUGCGGGGAAACAGGACUGUUACUUUGAAAAAAUUAGAGUGUUUAAAGCAAGCUAACGCUUGAAUACAUUAGCAUGGAAUAAUGAAAUAGGACGUCGAUCUUAUUUUGUUGGUUUCUAGGGUUGACGUAAUGAUUAAUAGGGAUAGUUGGGGGCAUUAGUAUUCAAUUGUCAGAGGUGAAAUUCUUGGAUUUAUUGAAGACUAACUACUGCGAAAGCAUUUGCCAAGGAUGUUUUCAUUAAUCAAGAACGAAAGUUAGGGGAUCGAAGACGAUCAGAUACCGUCGUAGUCUUAACCAUAAACUAUGCCGACUAGGGAUCGGAUGAUGUUAAUUUUUAAUGACUCAUUCAGCGCCUUACG
RNAcentral lists this ribosomal RNA (520 nucleotides) under uncultured Glomus. RNAcentral's name for it is "SSU rRNA". It matches the Rfam family "Eukaryotic small subunit ribosomal RNA", at positions 569 to 1092 of the family's 1831-position model. The record is from RNAcentral. Lineage: Eukaryota; Fungi; Glomeromycota; Glomeromycetes; Glomerales; Glomeraceae.